This 432-nucleotide ribosomal RNA is filed under the name uncultured bacterium. Its description in RNAcentral is "partial 16S ribosomal RNA". It matches the Rfam family "Bacterial small subunit ribosomal RNA", at positions 29 to 506 of the family's 1533-position model. The record is from RNAcentral.
AACGAACGCUGGCGGCAUGCCUAACACAUGCAAGUCGAACGAGACCUUCGGGUCUAGUGGCGCACGGGUGCGUAACGCGUGGGAACCUGCCCUUAGGUUCGGAAUAACUCCCCGAAAGGGGUGCUAAUACCGGAUAAUGUCUUCGGACCAAAGAUUUAUCACCUUUGGAUGGGCCCGCGUUGGAUUAGCUAGUUGGUAGGGUAAAAGCCUACCAAGGCGACGAUCCAUAGCUGGUCUGAGAGGAUGAUCAGCCACACUGGGACUGAGACACGGCCCAGACUCCUACGGGAGGCAGCAGUGGGGAAUAUUGGACAAUGGGCGAAAGCCUGAUCCAGCAAUGCCGCGUGAGUGAUGAAGGCCUUAGGGUUGUAAAGCUCUUUUACCCGGGAUGAUAAUGACAGUACCGGGAGAAUAAGCUCCGGCUAACUCCGU